RNAcentral lists this ribosomal RNA (837 nucleotides) under uncultured archaeon. RNAcentral's name for it is "bacterial SSU rRNA". It matches the Rfam family "Archaeal small subunit ribosomal RNA", at positions 21 to 859 of the family's 1478-position model. The record is from RNAcentral.
GGUUACUGCUAUCGGUGUUCGCAUAAGCCAUGCGAGUCAUAUGUUCGUAAGAACAUGGCGUACUGCUCAGUAACACGUGGAUAACCUGCCCUUGGGUCCGGCAUAACCCCGGGAAACUGGGGAUAAUUCCGGAUAACGCACAUAUGCUGGAAUGCUUUUUGCGUAAAAUGGAUUCGUCUGCCCAAGGAUGGGUCUGCGGCCUAUCAGGUAGUAGUGGGUGUAAUGUACCUACUAGCCUACGACGGGUACGGGUUGUGAGAGCAAGAGCCCGGAGAUGGAUUCUGAGACAUGAAUCCAGGCCCUACGGGGCGCAGCAGGCGCGAAAACUUUACAAUGCGGGAAACCGUGAUAAGGGGACACCGAGUGCCAGCAUCCUAUGCUGGCUGUCCGGGUGUGUAAAAUACACCUGUUAGCAAGGGCCGGGCAAGACCGGUGCCAGCCGCCGCGGUAACACCGGCGGCCCGAGUGGUGAUCGUGAUUAUUGGGUCUAAAGGGUCCGUAGCCGGUUUGGUCAGUCCUCCGGGAAAUCUGACAGCUCAACUGUUAGGCUAUCGGAGGAUACUGCCAGACUUGGAACCGGGAGAGGUAAGAGGUACUACAGGGGUAGGAGUGAAAUCUUGUAAUCCCUGUGGGACCACCUGUGGCGAAGGCGUCUUACCAGAACGGGUUCGACGGUGAGGGACGAAAGCUGGGGGCACGAACCGGAUUAGAUACCCGGGUAGUCCCAGCCGUAAACGAUGCUCGCUAGGUGUCAGGCAUGGCGCGACCGUGUCUGGUGCCGCAGGGAAGCCGUGAAGCGAGCCACCUGGGAAGUACGGCCGCAAGGCUGAAACUUAA